This 517-nucleotide long non-coding RNA is filed under the name Schistocerca americana (American grasshopper). RNAcentral's name for it is "uncharacterized LOC124554165". The record is from RNAcentral. Lineage: Eukaryota; Metazoa; Arthropoda; Insecta; Orthoptera; Acrididae.
GAAGACUUUAUGCCUGCUUGUAGAGGCAAUUACACUGCUCGGGAAAGAGUCAGUACAUUCCAUUUCCCUCGUGAUGAAGAUGCAUGGAGAGAAUGGAUAAGAGCAGUUCACCGUGAUAAUUUCAUCCCUUCAGAUCACUCUGUGAUUUGUGAGCUGCAUUUCCAUGCACACGAAAUAGAAAGAAGUACAUCGUCAUAUGAUGCUAAGACUGGAAGAUUAAUUACACGCCUCUUGAUCGUCCACGUUUAAGGAAAGGUGCAAUACCAGCACUAUUGCCAGAAUGUCCUGAUUAUUUAACAACACCACAAGAAGGAAAAUAUCAUUCUUUUCGUUGAAGGUAUUAUGUGAUAAAAUUAAUAGUAGCCAUUCGAAUGAGUGGACCUGUGUCAAAAAGUUGAGUAGUGUGUAUUUUCUUUUAAUUAGUGAAAUGCCAUUUUUGAGAGUUCUGUGGUAUGUUACAAUUAACGCAAGUCUCACUUUCACUGUCCAUGUCAAUGAUUAACAGCUUGGUCAAAUA